Molecule: long non-coding RNA, 227 nt
Filed under: Elaeis guineensis (African oil palm)
Lineage: Eukaryota; Viridiplantae; Streptophyta; Magnoliopsida; Arecales; Arecaceae
Description: long non-coding RNA (EGUI_LNC049813)
Source: RNAcentral
GCAGAUUGGACACCAGCUCAUCGCCAACGUCGAGGCGAUCAAGAAUGCCAAGAGGGAGGCAGCCCAGGUGGAGGAAGGUUGCCUGGCUGAGGUUGCCCGCCUCAAGGAGAAGAUCAUCGAGGUCGCAAGUCUCCAGGAGGCACUGCAGAAGGAGGGACAAACCUUAUCCGAAUUGAGGGCUGCCAUGGAGGAGGAAAGAAAGAAGGCAGAGGCCGAGGUCUCUGAAC